Molecule: transfer RNA, 64 nt
Filed under: Gryllotalpa henana
Lineage: Eukaryota; Metazoa; Arthropoda; Insecta; Orthoptera; Gryllotalpidae
Description: tRNA-His
Source: RNAcentral
AUUUAAGUAGUUUAUAAGAAUGUUGACUUGUGGAGUCGGAGGAAUAUUUAGGAUAUCUUAGAUA